CCUACGGGAGGCUGCAGUGGGGAAUAUUGCACAAUGGGCGCAAGCCUGAUGCAGCCAUGCCGCGUGUGUGAAGAAGGCCUUCGGGUUGUAAAGCACUUUCAGCGGGGAGGAAGGCGUUAAGGUUAAUAACCUUGUCGAUUGACGUUACCCGCAGAAGAAGCACCGGCUAACUCCGUGCCAGCAGCCGCGGUAAUACGGGGGGUGCAAGCGUUAAUCGGAAUUACUGGGCGUAAAGCGCACGCAGGCGGUCUGUCAAGUCGGAUGUGAAAUCCCCGGGCUCAACCUGGGAACUGCAUUCGAAACUGGCAGGCUAGAGUCUUGUAGAGGGGGGUAGAAUUCCAGGUGUAGCGGUGAAAUGCGUAGAGAUCUGGAGGAAUACCGGUGGCGAAGGCGGCCCCCUGGACAAAGACUGACGCUCAGGUGCGAAAGCGUGGGGAGCAAACAGGAUUAGAUACCCGGUAGUC
RNAcentral lists this ribosomal RNA (464 nucleotides) under uncultured Klebsiella sp. RNAcentral describes it as "bacterial SSU rRNA". It matches the Rfam family "Bacterial small subunit ribosomal RNA", at positions 338 to 795 of the family's 1533-position model. Lineage: Bacteria; Pseudomonadati; Pseudomonadota; Gammaproteobacteria; Enterobacterales; Enterobacteriaceae. The record is from RNAcentral.